UUAAUAUUCUAUUUUACUGUGAACUGUAUUAUUACGAGAUGUUUGAGGGAUGCUUACCGACUAUAAGGAUAGGUCAGUAGGAUGUUAACCGAGUCUUGAUCAAGCUUUCUUUUUAAGCUUGGUAUCCUAUUAUUAUUUACCAAAAGAAUUCAGUAUAAAAUAUUGUAACAUAGACCUAAAAAAUCUAUAAAAACAACUUUUAACAACGGAUCUCUUGGUUCUCGCAUCGAUGAAGAACGUAGCAAAGUGCGAUAACUAGUGUGAAUUGCAUAUUCAGUGAAUCAUCGAGUCUUUGAACGCAUCUUGCGCUCAUUGGUAUUCCAAUGAGCACGCCUGUUUCAGUAUCAGAAACACCCCACAUUCAAAAUCUUUUUUUUGAGUGGAACUGAGCCGUUACGGUUUUUUUUAAUUAAAAAACUGUUCGCUUUAAAAAUAUUAGGCCUGGAAUUUAGUAUUUUCUUGUUUUGCCUGAACUUUUUUUUUAAUAUAAAGGAAAAGCUCUUGUCAAACGAAUGAAGUCUAAAAGCUUUGGGGCCUCUCAAAUAAAACAUUCUUAAAUUUGAUCUGAAAUCAGGCGGGAUUACCCGCUGAACUUAAGCAUAUCAAUAA
Molecule: unclassified non-coding RNA, 609 nt
Filed under: Mucor aligarensis
Lineage: Eukaryota; Fungi; Mucoromycota; Mucoromycetes; Mucorales; Mucoraceae
Description: sequence contains ITS1, 5.8S rRNA gene, ITS2
Rfam family: 5.8S ribosomal RNA (bases 195-347)
Source: RNAcentral